Molecule: long non-coding RNA, 4961 nt
Organism: Carassius gibelio (silver crucian carp)
Lineage: Eukaryota; Metazoa; Chordata; Actinopteri; Cypriniformes; Cyprinidae
Exons: 6
Source: RefSeq, a predicted model, not a curated record
GACAAUACUUUGAACGUCAACAAGAAGUGACGUCACCCAACAUCGCUUAGAUCACCUUUAAAUGAGCAUCAGCAACCACCACUGUCUUUAACAGCUGAUCCUGUAUUGUUUUUCAAAGGCAAAAAAACUACAUAAAAAAUAUGUUCAGUAUGUUCAGAUUGGUUAAUACAGAAGUGGUUUCACAGAUAAGGUCAAAAGAUGUCAAACGCAUUUAAGCAAUGAAAAUCAGUUUUGCACACUGUACAGUCGUGGCCAAACGUUUUGAGAAUUACAUAAAUAUUGGGAAUUGGAAAAGUUGCUGCUUAAGUUUUUAUAAUAGCAAUUUGCAUAUACUCCAGAAUGUUAUGAAGAGUGAUCAGAUGAAUUGCAUAGUCAUUCUUUGCCAUGAAAAUUAACUUAAUCCCAAAAAAACCUUUCCACUGCAUUUCAUUGCUGUCAUUAAAGGACCUGCUGAGAUCAUUUCAGUAAUCGUCUUGUUAACUCAGGUGAGAAUGUUGACGAGCACAAGGCUGGAGAUCAUUAUGUCAGGCUUAGAAUGGCAGACUUGACAUGUUAAAAGGAGGGUGAUGCUUUAAAUCAUUGUUCUUCCAUUGUUAACCAUGGUGACCUGCAAAGAAACGCGUGCAGCCAUCAUUGCGUUGCAUAAAAAUGGCUUCACAGGCAAGGAUAUUGUGGCUACUAAGAUUGCACCUAAAUCAACAAUUUAUAGGAUCAUCAAGAACUUCAAGGAAAGAGGUUCAAUUCUUAUAAAGAAGGCUUCAGGGCAUUCAAGAAAGUCCAGCAAGCGCCAGGAUCAUCUCCUAAAGAGGAUUCAGCUGCGGGAUCGGAGCUUGCUCAGGAAUGGCAGCAGGCAUGUGUGAGCGCAUCUGCACGCACAGUGAGGCCAAGACUUUUGGAAGAUGGCCUGGUGUCAAGAAGGGUAGCAAAGAAGCCACUUCUCUCCAAAAAAAAACAUCAGGGACAGAUUGAUCUUCUGCAGAAAGUAUAGUGAAUGGACUGCUGAGGACUGGGCCAAAGUCAUAUUCUCCGAUGAAGCCCCUUUCCGAUUGUUUGGGGCAUCUAGAAAAAGGCUUGUCCGGAGAAGAAAAGGUCAACGCUACCAUCAGUCCUGUGUCAUGCCAACAGUAAGGCCGGGCAUACACUGUGUGAUUUUCAUCUGAUUUUGAGCCGAAUUCUGACUCAUGCGACUCUUUUUCAGGUCGGGACGAAUUUCAUCAUUUUCGUGCGUCGUUUGUCGUGCAGUGUACAAGGGGAAACGAGAGGCGAUAAGCCUCUCCCGACCGGCAAUCGGUUGGUCGGAUGGAUUUCUGACAUGUCAGAAAUUUUGGUCGCCUCUCGUGAGGUAUCGCACUGUUGAAGCAGGGCCACGAACCGAUUUUCCGUGUUUCCCUCACUGCGCAUGCGUGAAACCAUAAACGAAACCAUGGUGACACCUGACACAGCGUGUAGUGUCGACUGAAGUGAUGGAGGGAUAACUUGUGGAGUUAUGGCAAAGAAAAAUAAAUUUUAAAAAGAGGGAAAAAAAACGCCUGCUUCCCUCCAGUUCGCGUUGCAAAAUGGAUUGACCAUAUUGGCCACGUCUUCCCAGCCACCUGCGCGUCUAGAUACGACGACGCCUUUUUUUUUUUACGUUUCAGCACACAUAAUUGUGCAUAUCACCAAAGCAGUGCGUUUAUCCCGGGAAAGCAUGUUUAUUCUGAAACAACCACAAACAUCCGGGUUCUGAGGGAUCCUACGUGUUGAUUCGGUUGAUUCCUCACGUAUAGUGUGAGCAGUCAAAUCGCAACUCGACAAUCGGACCGUACAGUGAGCGCACAAAAAUCGUGAGCUUUGGCUUUACAUCGCAUGCGAUCUACACGUAUAGUGUGAGUUGGUACCUUGCCGAAAUCGCACAGAAAUUGCACAGUGUAUGCCCGCAUUAAAGCAUCCUGACACCAUUCAUGUAUGGGGUUGCUUCUCAUCCAAGGGAGUGGGCUCACUCACAAUUCUGCCCAAAAACACAGCAAUGAAUAAAGAAUGGUACCAAAACACCCUCCAACAGCAACUUCUUACAACAAUCCAGCAACAGUUUGGUGAAGAACAAUGGAUUCUCCAGCACGAUGGAGCUCCGUGCCAUAAGGCAAAAGUGAAAACUAAGUGGUUGAUUGAUUGCAUGCCCAGUCGAAUUGCAGAGGUCCUGAAAAAGAAGGGCCAACACUGCAAAUACUGACUCUUUGCAUAAAUGUCAUGUAAUUGUCGAUAAAAGCCUUUGAAACGUAUGAAGUGCUUGUAAUUAUAUUUCAGUACAUCACAGAAACAACUGAAACAAAGAUCUAAAAGCAGUUUAGCAGCAAACCUUUUGAAAACUAAUAUUUAUGGAAUUCUCAAAACCUUUGGCCACGACUGUACAGUUGAAGAAGCUUUAGUUUUUUGCCCAACAUGACCUCAGUCAUCAUCAAACUGAAGCACAAUCAUCUCUGCAGGUGAUAUUUACUUGCACAGUACCUGAUAGAUAGCCUGGUAAUACCAAACUUUCCUUUGCUUUGUAGACAGAAUCUGCAUAUCCGAAGGAAAACGGAAAGCUAUGACGCUUUCUCAGACUGAGUACAGAAGCGAAAUGAAAUCGAGUGGAAGUAUGAAAUCUGACGUAGUCAGGCUUCCUGAUGGAGCCGCUUAUACUGAAACACUGAUAUAGGAGAUGGGGAGUAGUUUCAGACGCAGCUGUAGUCUCACAAAUUCCUGUGGGAUAUCUAUGUUGGUCUUUUAAGGUCUAUAUAGUACAAAAACUUCUGUCAUAUGUUUUUUCAACUCUAUUUUUUAAAAUAGUUGCAGUUUAAACAAAGCAUUUUUAAAAUGUCAUUGUUAUGGGUUGUUUACAUUGACAUUGUUUUCAAAUUUACAGUUGAAGUAAAUAGACUUUUUGCAAGCUAUGUAGCAGAAGCCAGCAGGAGACCUUUAAGUCAUCGUAGUCGUUCUACAAGACCUCGCAGUAGCUUCACAAGAGUUUUCUGCUGCUUAAGUAGAAUGACACAAAGUGUUGCACCAACAAAGUUUGAAAGGGAGGAACUGAAAGCUACAGGACUACAAAAGGUUACAUUUCUUGGUGAUGUAAACAAUGCAGAAGAUUUAAAAAACUAGAUUAUAACGACAUAUCCAAAACUUGGUGACUGUGGGGGAUUUGAGAUUUUAAAAAUAUCAGGCAUGACCCGAUCUAGGAAUCUGGUGGUGUUGCCUUGCCCAAACACAGCGUACACAAUUAAGACUCUAAAAGAAAAUAUGGGACAUGCUGUCAUCUACAUACGUCCUAUGCAAAAAGACAUAGAACUGUCCAGUUCUGUAAGUUUUAUUUCUUUUAACACUACAGUAAAUUACUUAUUUGCUAAAUUCUAUGCUUAUUACAUUUUAGGCAACACAUGUUUUUAUCGUAAUGUACUAAGUUUAUUUAUUUUAUUAUUUUCAUUUACAGUUAUCUAAAAUUUUGAGAUUGCUUUUUACUUAAGGUUCACAUUGAGAGCUGCAGGUAUGGAGAACAUUGACUGGUCAUAAUCUUGAUUUAAUAUUCAGUUUCUUUUUAGGGAAACAAAAUUUAAUUUCAUGUUUUUGAAGGCCUAGGACUGAAUGUUCCAAUCACCUGCCACCAACAUUAGAGAACGAACACCUAAAUGCACAGACUUCAGACAGUGAUUCACUCAUCAACCAGUCACCCACUGAGGAAAAUACUGACCAGCUGUUCAUCGAUUUAACAGAUGAAAAAACGGACAUGGUAAAUUUCAAGUUUACAUUGUUAAGAGCUUGUGCUACAAUCAAACAUUUUCUUCUGCCAUAACUUCAGUUUGUAUGUUCACAAUAUUAGCAUUUCAAAACGCUUCUUAUUUUUCUAAAAAAAAUAAAAUAAAAUAAAAUUACUUGUAUAUAAUGUUCAUCAAACUGAAGAAGAGAGUGGUCUUGUGGAUCAUCCACAUUUAUUUGGUACAGGUUUUAUGGUAGAUGCUCUUAGGAGUGUCUUUAAUAUUUCUUAAUUCCUAUAGCAAAAUAUUGCCAGGAAUCUUUAAGUGAAUGGCGGAGGAUGCGUGAGGAGCAGGAUGAUGAAUAUAAUCAGUCUUUGAUAGCAGAUCAAGCCAAUGUAGGGUAAACUUUAUAACAGACAUCCUCUGAUGACAUUGUGUAAUCUUUCUGUCUGCAUUACAAUAUGAAUUCAUAAUUUGUUUCAGGAACUGCAGAAGAUGAAUAGCGAAGAAUCUGAGAAUAGACGCAGAAAGGCUAUAGAUGAGAGACGAGCGCAAAUCGCAAGUUUACCUGAACUUGCUCAUGGUGUGUCGCUAAAAGUAAAAUAUCUUGAAAAAAAGGAUUAAUGAGGACCAGGAAAUUUAUUUUAAGUGAAUCAAUUAAGGCACUGUUUGACUUCGUUGGAGAAGUGGAGGAUGCUACAGAAUGGUUCCAGAUUCAGGAAGCCUUAUCACCAACACUUACAAAUGACCUAUGUGGAACCAUUUCUGAAAGAAAUAUCAGACGGCCAACCACACUUUUUGUCCAGUGGAUUUCCUCCGAAGACGCAGAGACCAUUCUUGCACCUGAUGGCAAUGACAACCAUAAUAAAGAUGAUUAUAAUUCUGGGACUGUCAGCGCAUUGGAUCAACCUAGCACCUCUAAUGAACACCUGGCAUCGUUCUCCCCUCGUUCAGAGCAGGAAGAGACUGUCCAGAAGACCAAUCUUCAAACAAUACUGAGUCUCCUUUCAGCCAAGAUAGAUGAUGAUAGAUAGGCAAUACCCACAACAUACUGAGAAGCACUGUUCAGGCUUUUAGUCGGCGAUGAUUUAACCUCGGAGCUGGAUGUGAUUUUUGUUGAUGAUACAAAAGCAGCAGAGGGGUCUGUGGACGGUGGUGGUCCCACUAGAGAGUAGCUCAGAUUGCUCCUUAAGGCUGUCCAGCAGUCUAGCAUAUUUGUGUGCCCUGAAAAUAGUAAGAGGUUGCGGCUUCACA